This 573-nucleotide ribosomal RNA is filed under the name Durinskia baltica. RNAcentral's name for it is "partial Bacterial large subunit ribosomal RNA". It matches the Rfam family "Bacterial large subunit ribosomal RNA", at positions 1277 to 1959 of the family's 2925-position model. The record is from RNAcentral. Lineage: Eukaryota; Dinophyceae; Peridiniales; Kryptoperidiniaceae.
AGGUAUCAGAAGUGCGAAUGCUGACAUGAGUAACGACAAUGCGGGUGAAAAACCCGCACGCCGGAAGACCAAGGGUUCCUGCGCAACGCUAAUCGGCGCAGGGUUAGCCGGCCCCUAAGACGAGCCCGAAGGGGGUAGUCGAUGGGAACCACGUAAAUAUUCGUGGGCCUGAAGAUGUGUGACGGAUCGUGGAAGUUGUUUUCUCUUAUUGGAUUGAGAGGGCAGCCAAGCGGUUCCAGGAAAUAGCCUCUUCAUAUAGACCGUACCCGAAACCGACACAGGUGGUCAGGUAGAGUAUACCAAGGCGCUUGAGAGAAGUAUCCUGAAGGAACUCGGCAAAUUGCCUCCGUACCUUCGGAAGAAGGAGGCCCCAUAUCGACGCAAGUCUUUGUGGGGGGCACAGGCCAGGGGGUAGCGACUGUUUAGCAAAAACACAGCACUCUGCUAAGUCGGCUUCAAGACGACGUAUAGGGUGUGACGCCUGCCCGGUGCUCGAAGGUUAAGAGGAGGAGUGCAAGCUCCGAAUUGAAGCCCGAGUAAACGGCGGCCGUAACAAUAACGGUCCUAAGGUAG